UACGUAGGCGGAAGAUUAAGUCAGUGGUGGAAUCCCGCAGCUCAACUGUGGAACUGUCAUUGAUACUGGUUUUCUUGAAUUUAGUUGAGGUAGGCGGAAUGUGUAAUGUAGCGGUGAAAUGCUUAGAUAUUACACGGAACACCGAUUGCGAAGGCAGCUUACUAAACUAUGAUUGACGCUGAGGUACGAAAGCGUGGGGAGCGAACAGGAUUAGAUACCCUGGUAGUCC
RNAcentral lists this ribosomal RNA (229 nucleotides) under uncultured bacterium. RNAcentral describes it as "partial 16S ribosomal RNA". It matches the Rfam family "Bacterial small subunit ribosomal RNA", at positions 568 to 796 of the family's 1533-position model. The record is from RNAcentral.